Molecule: ribosomal RNA, 472 nt
Filed under: uncultured bacterium
Lineage: Bacteria
Description: partial 16S ribosomal RNA
Rfam family: Bacterial small subunit ribosomal RNA
Source: RNAcentral
GACGAACGCUGGCGGCGUGCUUAACACAUGCAAGUCGAACGCUGAAGCUUGGUGCUUGCACUGGGUGGAUGAGUGGCGAACGGGUGAGUAAUACGUGAGUAACCUGCCCUUGACUCUGGGAUAAGCCUGGGAAACUGGGUCUAAUACUGGAUACGACAUGUCACCGCAUGGUGGUGUGUGGAAAGGGUUUUACUGGUUUUGGAUGGGCUCACGGCCUAUCAGCUUGUUGGUGGGGUAGUGGCUCACCAAGGCGACGACGGGUAGCCGGCCUGAGAGGGUGACCGGCCACACUGGGACUGAGACACGGCCCAGACUCCUACGGGAGGCAGCAGUGGGGAAUAUUGCACAAUGGGCGGAAGCCUGAUGCAGCGACGCCGCGUGAGGGAUGACGGCCUUCGGGUUGUAAACCUCUUUCAGCACGGAAGAAGCGAAAGUGACGGUACGUGCAGAAGAAGCGCCGGCUAACUACGUG